AUCCUUGUGGAAGGGGCAAUAGCGUUAUUAGUGACGCUUAGCGGAGGUGCGCUGUUUGCUAGUUGAAAACUACUCCAAUUCCCGUCAAGUUUGAUCCUCAAGGUCAUUCUUCAUUCCUGUGGAGCAAAAGC
Molecule: small nuclear RNA, 131 nt
Filed under: Symbiodinium microadriaticum
Lineage: Eukaryota; Dinophyceae; Suessiales; Symbiodiniaceae
Description: U4 spliceosomal RNA
Rfam family: U4 spliceosomal RNA
About the family: U4 small nuclear RNA (U4 snRNA) is a component of the major U2-dependent spliceosome.
Source: Rfam by way of RNAcentral